This 253-nucleotide ribosomal RNA is filed under the name uncultured bacterium. RNAcentral's name for it is "partial 16S ribosomal RNA". It matches the Rfam family "Bacterial small subunit ribosomal RNA", at positions 524 to 776 of the family's 1533-position model. The record is from RNAcentral.
UACGAAGGGAGCUAGCGUUGUUCGGAAUUACUGGGCGUAAAGGGCGCGUAGGCGGUUCGACAAGUUGGAUGUGAAAGCCCAGGGCUCAACCCUGGAAUUGCAUUCAAGACUGUCUUACUUGAAUUCGGUAGAGGUUGGUGGAAUUCCCAGUGUAGAGGUGAAAUUCGUAGAUAUUGGGAAGAACACCCGUGGCGAAGGCGGCCAACUGGACCGACAUUGACGCUGAGGCGCGAAAGCGUGGGGAUCAAACAGG